This 1218-nucleotide long non-coding RNA is filed under the name Phasianus colchicus (ring-necked pheasant). RNAcentral describes it as "lncRNA (ENSPCLG00000017066.1)". Lineage: Eukaryota; Metazoa; Chordata; Aves; Galliformes; Phasianidae. The record is from RNAcentral.
AGACCUUCAGAUCAACAUCCUUACAAAUCCUGACUGCUUGUCAAAAACACAAUUUGAAAUUACUGGAUUGCCAGAGAGAAGAAACCAGGUGAGAAUCCAGUUUUACAGAACAGCAUCCAGCCAUCCUCACACUUGAAAGGUGCCAGCUGGCCAUUAUUGCUACAGAGGUGUUACAGACAAAUGCAUCUCUAUAGAUGUAGACAGCAUUCGUGUUACAUCCUGAUAGGAAAAGAUUCUCAUAGACUGGUGUGUGAUCACAUAGUUAAUGCUUCUGUGUUGCUGAGGUAAGGUGCAAAGAUAACUGUGAAUCUAACUUCCCUCAAAUGUUAAACUUGCAGUUUAAAAAAGCUUGUAUCUUGCUGCUACUUGCAUCUCUCUUCCUCAGUUUAUAACAAAGAGAACUAAAUUUUGCAAAGAAAUCAUGUCUAAUCUGCUCAAAUGGUUUAACAGCAGAACUGGAAAGUGUAUUUACUGCACAGACAUGUUGAUGCUUGUAUCAGUAAAACUGUUAUAUAUUUCACUUAAGUUGAAAAUUAAUUAAUAUUUGUAACCUAAUGUUUCCUAACAUGGGGGUUUUAGUCAAAGCCUAUCUCAAGUAUCUCGUAUUUAGUCAAGCAAAUUCCUUACUUUAAAUAAUACUUGUUUCUACUUUUCUCAUUUCAGUAGGAAAAAAAUUAUCCCCUAGUCUUUUUCUUCGUUCUUGCUCUCACUGUUCCUUACUCUUGUGUUUUUUUUUUUUUUUUUUGCAGGCUCUCUUGUACUGCUUGCUUCUGUCCCUGUCUGAACAUCUGCUUCUUUGCACUAUGACUCCUGCCUCAGUUCUUCCCCCUCUAGGCACAUUAUCGCUUUCUUUCAGUGAAUAUCCACCUUGGAGAAUUUGAUUUUCUUCAUAGCCACAGCUUUUGCUGGAUGCUGCAGAACCACUGAGAAUGUUGGAGCAACACAGCUGGCAAGCUUUCAGAUUCACGGGGCAAAAUUGGAAAUACAAGUGUUAAAAUUUUGGCUUGCAGAUAAGUCUUGUGUGUUUUCUGCAUAGUAUCACUUAGCAAAAUCCUGAUGUCCGGAAUAAUUGUGCUAGCAGCAGUGCCCUGAGAAGCUGAAGGCUUCCAGUCAUAUUGCAGCACAGCUCAAGAAGCACAUAUAAUUCCAUUGAUUUAACUGGCCACUCUUUGAAUGUCAGUGGGUGUGUUCUAGGGCUGUUAUCUACUUGAAUGCUGC